Molecule: long non-coding RNA, 646 nt
Filed under: Eutrema salsugineum
Lineage: Eukaryota; Viridiplantae; Streptophyta; Magnoliopsida; Brassicales; Brassicaceae
Description: long non-coding RNA (ESAL_LNC001945)
Source: RNAcentral
UCCUGAGUCCAUUGGUCUCUUGAAGGCAUUGAUUGCGCUCAACUUAUCGAACAACGCCUUCACAGGCCAGAUUCCUCUGUCUUUGGCAAAUGUUACGGAGCUCGAGUCACUAGACCUGUCAAGAAACCAACUAUCAGGGAAUAUUCCAAGAGAACUCGGGAGUCUCUCGUUUUUGGCGUACAUAAGUGUAGCUCAUAACCAGCUCAAAGGAGAAAUACCACAAGGACCACAGUUUAGUGGGCAAGCUGAAUCAUCGUUUGAAGGGAAUGCAGGUCUUUGUGGUCUCCCUCUACAAGAAAGUUGCUUUGCACCACCAACACAACAGCUUAAGGAAGAAGACGAAGAAGAGGAAGGAGUGCUAAACUGGAAAGCAGUGGUUAUAGGCUAUGGGCCUGGACUGUUGUUUGGAUUGGUUAUAGCGCACGUUAUUGCUGCAUACAAGCCAAAGUGGUUCGUCAAGAUUGUUGGUCCAGAUAAGAGCAAGGAGGUAAAUCCAGUUAGAUUGUUUUUGUCUAUGGAUUCAAGAUGUGACAGUUUUAAUAACACGAAUAACGUAGAACCAGAAAGUGAUAUGUAAAAUUAGUAUAUGGAUAUGUUGUUUACCUGAUGUAAGUAAGAAAAGGUUUUUACUUUUACUGUGACUUUU